Molecule: unclassified non-coding RNA, 333 nt
Filed under: uncultured fungus
Lineage: Eukaryota; Fungi
Description: partial contains small subunit ribosomal RNA, internal transcribed spacer 1, and 5.8S ribosomal RNA
Rfam family: Eukaryotic small subunit ribosomal RNA (bases 1-73)
Source: RNAcentral
GCAAACUUGGUCAUUUAGAGGAAGUAAAAGUCGUAACAAGGUUUCCGUAGGUGAACCUGCGGAAGGAUCAUUAUUGAACAACCUGGUGUCGGCUGAGCUGGCCUUUUCGGAGGCAUGUGCACGGCCCACCAUUGUUUCAUCCUUCUCUUCCACCUGUGCACUUCAGUGGGCCCACUCCAGCACACAUCUCGUGCGCUGGACUCUGGUGCCUACGUCUUUACUAUCCACACCUUUGAAUGUUCAGAAUGCAUGAAUGGGGCACUCUUGCCCAUAAAACCUUAUACAACUUUCAACAACGGAUCUCUUGGCUCUCGCAUCGAUGAAGAACGCAGC